Molecule: ribosomal RNA, 253 nt
Filed under: uncultured bacterium
Lineage: Bacteria
Description: partial 16S ribosomal RNA
Rfam family: Bacterial small subunit ribosomal RNA
Source: RNAcentral
UACGUAGGGUGCAAGCGUUGUCCGGAAUUAUUGGGCGUAAAGAGCUCGUAGGCGGUUUGUUGCGUCGGCUGUGAAAACCUGAGGCUCAAUCUCAGGCCUGCAGUCGAUACGAGCAGACUAGAGUGUUGCAGGGGAGACUGGAAUUCCUGGUGUAGCGGUGAAAUGCGCAGAUAUCAGGAGGAACACCGGUGGCGAAGGCGGGUCUCUGGGCAACAACUGACGCUGAGGAGCGAAAGCGUGGGGAGCGAACAGG